UUGACAAUGAUGGGACCUUAAAUUGUCUUGAAGAGAAAUAACUUAAAAGUUAUGCUCAAUAGAAUUAAACAGGCUA
RNAcentral lists this small nucleolar RNA (76 nucleotides) under Zalophus californianus (California sea lion). RNAcentral describes it as "Small nucleolar RNA SNORD115 (ENSZCAG00015020060.1)". It matches the Rfam family "Small nucleolar RNA SNORD115". Rfam says of the family: HBII-52 is a member of the C/D class of snoRNAs, which contain the C (UGAUGA) and D (CUGA) box motifs. HBII-52 is encoded in a tandemly repeated array with another C/D snoRNA, HBII-85, in the Prader-Willi syndrome (PWS) region of chromosome 15. The record is from RNAcentral. RNAcentral also lists the same sequence under 2 other names. Lineage: Eukaryota; Metazoa; Chordata; Mammalia; Carnivora; Otariidae.